Long non-coding RNA from Magallana angulata, 621 nucleotides. RefSeq lists it as uncharacterized. The record is from RefSeq and is a predicted model, not a curated record. The transcript has 5 exons. Lineage: Eukaryota; Metazoa; Mollusca; Bivalvia; Ostreida; Ostreidae.
UGUUUUUUCUGGCUUGGGAGGUCUGGUCACCGUGCAGUGUAACAUGUGGGAGAGGAUCAAGGGUGAGAUCUAGAGCCUGUAUUCCACCAAAGUACGGGGGUCUCAACUGUACCGGAUCGUUGUUUGAAAUAAAUGACUGUAUUCAAGUUCCACGUCAAAUCAACGGAGAGUGGCCAUGCCGGCAAAAUUCAUCUGCGUGUAGUGUCACGUGUGGCGGAGGAGUAAAAACAAGGACUCGAACCUGUAGCCACCCGACUCCAGCCAAUGGCGGCCUCCAGUGUCGGGGGGAAUCACACAUGAGUGAACACUGCAAUGAAAACCCAUCUCCAGUGAAUGGUGUUUCAUUGGCGUGGGGGGACUGGUCACCGUGCAGUGUAACAUGUGGGAGCGGAUCCAGGGUGAGAGCAAGGGCCUGCAACCCCCCACAGUAUGUACUGUACUGAACCGUUGUUUGAAAUAAAUAGCUGUCUACAAGUUCCAUGUCAAACUCCACCAGCAGGUGUUGCUUGCCCCCCUUGUACCGAGGAUCUAGAGUGUACAUGGAACACCACAUGCCAUGUAUCGGAGAACUGUAUGGUCCGAUCUAUCUCUGUUACAAGAUUCAAUUUUACCACGCACUGC